This is a small nuclear RNA of Chlorocebus sabaeus (green monkey), 104 nucleotides long. The record is from Ensembl. Lineage: Eukaryota; Metazoa; Chordata; Mammalia; Primates; Cercopithecidae.
GUGCUCACUUCAGCAACACAUAUACUAAAAUUAGAACGAUAUAGAGAUUAGCCUGUCCCUUGCACAAGGAUGACAUGCAAAUUCAUGAAGCAUUCCAUAUUUUU